Ribosomal RNA from Penicillium italicum, 120 nucleotides. NCBI's taxonomy places the organism in Eukaryota, Fungi, Ascomycota, Eurotiomycetes, Eurotiales, Aspergillaceae. The record is from Rfam.
ACAUACGACCAUAGGGUGUGGAAAACAGGGCUUCCCGUCCGCUCAGCCGUACUUAAGCCACACGCCGGUGAGUUAGUAGUUGGGUGGGUGACCACCAGCGAAUCCUCACUGUUUUAUGUU